RNAcentral lists this ribosomal RNA (491 nucleotides) under uncultured bacterium. RNAcentral describes it as "partial 16S ribosomal RNA". It matches the Rfam family "Bacterial small subunit ribosomal RNA", at positions 29 to 507 of the family's 1533-position model. The record is from RNAcentral.
GUGCACGCUGGCGGUAGGCCUAACACAUGCAAGCCGAACGGCAGCACAGUAAGAGCUUGCUCUUACGGGUGGCGAGUGGCGGACGGGUGAGGAAUACAUCGGAAUCUACUUUUUCGUGGGGGAUAACGUAGGGAAACUUACGCUAAUACCGCAUACGACCUACGGGUGAAAGCAGGGGAUCUUCGGACCUUGCGCGAUUGAAUGAGCCGAUGUCGGAUUAGCUAGUUGGCGGGGUAAAGGCCCACCAAGGCGACGAUCCGUAGCUGGUCUGAGAGGAUGAUCAGCCACACUGGAACUGAGACACGGUCCAGACUCCUACGGGAGGCAGCAGUGGGGAAUAUUGGACAAUGGGCGCAAGCCUGAUCCAGCCAUACCGCGUGGGUGAAGAAGGCCUUCGGGUUGUAAAGCCCUUUUGUUGGGAAAGAAAAGCAGCAGGUUAAUACCCCGCUGUUCUGACGGUACCCAAAGAAUAAGCACCGGCUAACUUCGUG